AGUAGUUUGAUCAUGGCUCAGGACGAACGCUGGCGGCGUGCUUAACACAUGCAAGUCGAGCGGAAAGGCUCCUUCGGGGGUACUCGAGCGGCGAACGGGUGAGUAACACGUGAGUAAUCUGCCCUUGGCUUCGGGAUAACUACCGGAAACGGUGGCUAAUACCGGAUAUGACCACUCCUUGCAUGGGGUGGUGGUGGAAAGUUUUUUCGGCCAGGGAUGUGCUCGCGGCCUAUCAGCUUGUUGGUGGGGUAAUGGCCUACCAAGGCUUCGACGGGUAGCCGGCCUGAGAGGGUGACCGGCCACACUGGGACUGAGACACGGCCCAGACUCCUACGGGAGGCAGCAGUGGGGAAUAUUGGACAAUGGGCGGAAGCCUGAUCCAGCAACGCCGCGUGAGGGAUGACGGCCUUCGGGUUGUAAACCUCUUUCAGUACCGACGAAGCGCCGAUGAUGGUGGUGACGGUAGGUACAGAAGAAGCACCGGCCAACUACGUG
This 495-nucleotide ribosomal RNA is filed under the name uncultured bacterium. RNAcentral describes it as "bacterial SSU rRNA". It matches the Rfam family "Bacterial small subunit ribosomal RNA", at positions 1 to 507 of the family's 1533-position model. The record is from RNAcentral.